This 436-nucleotide ribosomal RNA is filed under the name uncultured bacterium. RNAcentral's name for it is "bacterial SSU rRNA". It matches the Rfam family "Bacterial small subunit ribosomal RNA", at positions 341 to 792 of the family's 1533-position model. The record is from RNAcentral.
ACGGAAGGCAGCAGUGGGGAAUAUUGCGCAAUGGGGGAAACCCUGACGCAGCAACGCCGCGUGAAGGACGAAGGUUUUCGGAUUGUAGACUUCAGCAAGCAGGGAAGAAGAAAGUGACAGUACCUGAACAAAAGCCACGGCUAACUACGUGCCAGCAGCCGCGGUAAUACGUAGGUGGCGAGCGUUGUCCGGAUUUACUGGGUGUAAAGGGCGCGUAGGCGGGUAAAUAAGUCAGAGGUGAAAUACCGGAGCUCAACUCCGGGGCUGCCUUUGAAACUGUAUAUCUUGAGUGCGGGAGAGGAAAGUGGAAUUCCUAGUGUAGCGGUGAAAUGCGUAGAGAUUAGGAGGAACACCAGUGGCGGAGGCGACUUUCUGGACCGUAACUGACGCUGAGGCGCGAAAGCGUGGGGAGCAAACAGGAUUAGAUACCCUGGUA